This 241-nucleotide ribosomal RNA is filed under the name uncultured bacterium. Its description in RNAcentral is "partial 16S ribosomal RNA". It matches the Rfam family "Bacterial small subunit ribosomal RNA", at positions 74 to 334 of the family's 1533-position model. The record is from RNAcentral.
CCGGGGUAACCCGGUAGUGGCGGACGGGUGAGUAACGCGUGGGUAUCUGUCUCCGGGUGGGGGGAUAACCGUGGGAAACUACGGCUAAUACCGCAUGACACCUGAGGGUCAAAGGCGCAAGCCGCCUGGAGAGGAGCCCGCGUACGAUUAGCUUGUUGGCGGGGUAAUGGCCCACCAAGGCGACGAUCGUUAGCUGGUCUGAGAGGAUGAUCAGCCACACUGGGACUGAGACACGGCCCAG